Long non-coding RNA from Homo sapiens (human), 756 nucleotides. The record is from Ensembl. Lineage: Eukaryota; Metazoa; Chordata; Mammalia; Primates; Hominidae.
AGAGUCCGUCAGUCCGGGACGAGGUACUGAGAAACUUUUUUUUUUGUACCUUUAAUUGGUGCGUUCGGCUGAAAGGCGGGGCCUGGUAAAAAAAAAAAAACAGAACUGCUGCUGAGGCGGAGGAGAGGACUUAAGGACUAUGGGUUUAUCCUCUGGCCGGACCAAAGAGAAGAUAUUUACUCCAGUGAGUGCGAAGUGAGUGCCUCGUUCACACCCACAGUCGCGCCGUCCCCUCUUCCCGCUCUGGGGCCAGCAACUCUUGUUAGAAUGCAGAUGCCUUUUGUCCAUGGACUGUGAGGCAGCAGACACUCUCUGCGUAGGAUCAUCAUGCCGAGCAUAAACUGGACUUUCCCACUUGCCUGGCAGGAGUCACACAGAUCCCUGCGUGCUAAAUGAACAUCUGAGGUCUUUGAGGAAUCGCCACACUGUUUUCCACAAAGGUCAAACUAAUUUACACUCCCACCAACAAUGUACCCUUGAAUCCUGACUAUUGGAGAAACAGCACCAUAUUUUGGAUACUGAUUCAGACCAUAUACAGCCUUCUGGAGAAUCUUGCCCCAGUCCUGAAAGUUCUGGCUCAUUGUAUAAGAGAAGUUUGCUGCCUUAGUGAGAUUUGUUUUGGUAUCAGGAUGAUGCUGGCAUCAUAAAAUGAGUAUUUUUCUUCAGACUUCAGACUGCUGUGCUGGAAGCAAGAAUUUCAAGCAUUGGAUCUUAGCUUGCUGGGCUCCAUAGGGGUGGGAUCCACUGAGCUAGACC